Lytechinus pictus (painted urchin) is the source of this 6814-nucleotide long non-coding RNA. RefSeq lists it as uncharacterized. NCBI's taxonomy places the organism in Eukaryota, Metazoa, Echinodermata, Echinoidea, Temnopleuroida, Toxopneustidae. The record is from RefSeq and is a predicted model, not a curated record. The transcript is spliced from 6 exons.
AGAGACAUUGCUCAUGGCCAAGAGAACAGUCCUAUCACUAACCCAAACUUGGUCAAUGAAGAUGGCAUCCCAACAGAUUUCCUCUACGUCAAAGGCAACUGUGAUCUUGGUCAACGAUGAUGGCAUCCAAAGGAUUUCCUCAAUGUCUAAGACAACGGUGAACUCAUUUGAUGGUGUUGGCAUCCCAACAGAUUUCCUCUGUCAAAGACAGCUGUAAGACAUCAAGACGGAAUGUUGACAGGAGUAUACAUGCAUAGACAUAGCUCAUGGCCUAAAGAACAGGAAUAUUGACAGAGACAGAGCAUGUGGCCUAGAGAACAUUCCUAUCCCUGUUGUUAACUCAGUCAACGAUGAUGGCAUCCCAAUGGAUUUCUUCUACAUCAAAGACAACUGUGAACUCGGUCAACGAUGAUGGCAUCCCAAGUAACUUCCUCAACAGAAAAGACAACUGUGAACUCGGUCAACGAUGAUGGCAUCCCAAGUAACUUCCUCAAAGGAAAAGACAACUGUGAACUCGGUCAAUGAUGAUGGCAUCCCAAGUAAUUUCCUCAAUGGAAAAGAAAACUGUGAACUCGGUCAAUGAUGAUGACAUCCCAACAGAUUUCCUCUACGUCAGAGAUAACUGUGAAAUUGGUCAAUGAUGAUGGCAUCCCAACAGACUUCUAUGUCAACGGCAACUGUGAGACAUGAAGACUCAAUUUGUUGACAGGAAUAUUGGCAGGACUUUCCCGUCGAUAAGUCUACGGCAGAUGACAUCAAAGAGGUUUUCUUCAGGGUCGCUGAAGAACAAAAGCUAGACUUAGCCGGAGUACCUCAACACACAGAUCUAAAACAGAUUUUGUCUGUAGGGUCACCUUACUUUUAUGCAGAGCUGAAUGAUGGAGAGAAGAUCUGACACAGAAUAAAGAAAUUCUUUCCUCUACAGUUUGGCAGGGAGGUGAUGGCAGCUGAAGAAUUGCUUGACUUGCCCGAGAGAGUGGACUGGAAGAACUGUAACAUCAGCAAGGAAGAGGAGAUGAAAUUAGUCUCAACGUUUAGAGAACAGUUUGAGCUGUUUGACUUUAAUCUCUGAGACGGACGUGUGGUAUCCCACGGAUUCGGAGUUUCAUGCAGUUUGUCAACACUGGCGAGAUGUCGUUAUCUGACAGUUAGCAUGGUAACGAUCGGAUACCUGUGCUACUUAGCAGAUCAACUUAUUAGGUGUUGAUGAGAUGAUGUUCCUCUUUCCAUUUUCAGCUUUAUUUGCGCCACCCUUCUAUCCCUCCCUCUUUCCUUUGCCUCCUUUUUCUUCUUCAUAAUUUUGUAAGAAUUAUUUGAAAUUUAUCAUUAUUGUUGUUGUUAUCUUUGUAAUUAUUAUCUGAAUUACUUUUUUUUUUUUCUAUCAUUUAUUUGCUUUAUUUUUAUAUUUUGUACUUGUCUUAAGCUCAUCUCCAUCCACCUCCAUUAUUGAAUAUAGUUUUGUUAAUCAGUAUUGAAACUAAGUUUACGGACUUACCUCCUAUACAAGCUCUGCUUUUCUUGGCAAGUCAUAUAAUUCAUAUAAUUUUUCUUCAAUUUUUUUUUUGAAAUGUCAUUUAACUGUCUGUAUUAUUUUGAAUGUGUACUGUAACUUCGAUUAUAUUUUGUUUAUUUUGUUCAACAGAAAUAAAUAAAUCUAUCUGUAAGUGCUCACCAGUUACUCCUUAUAUAAAACGCGAUGCACACCGGACAUCCGAUUAUCUCUGAAAUCAUGAAAGAAAAGAAGCUGAAUGCGUAUACAGUGCGUAUCAAUAAAAAGUGUGAACUUUAGAAAUAGUCCUGCCAAUUGAAAAAUUUACAAAAUUUGGGAGAUUUUUUUUUUUACAUUCAUUAUGUUCUUGGUCUUCGGUCUCUUUUAUUAGAUGGUGGUAUUUUUGUUUACAGAAUAUUACACUUGAGUGAGCAUUGACCAACUGUCUUUGUACAGUUUGGAGAUAUUGGUUUGUGCAAAAAUGCUGACUUUCACUCUGUGUCAAGGGGGUGGGUGUUUGACUUGAGCGAAUCUGUAGGACAGGGAGAAGAGUUGAGAAUUUUUUUUUUAAUUUAAUGACUGAAGUGCACAUUCUCUUGAUGAUUCAAUGUACGUCAACUUUCAUGAUUGAAACUUUUUCCAAUUUUUAUGCAAGUCAGUUUUUUACUAACUUUUUAAAACUGCAGUCAUAUUCCCAUUUGCUAAAAGGGACUUGUACCUGUAAAUACAUACGUACAUGCGAAAAGACUACUAUUUAUUUUUAUUUACUGUAGCACUAUAUAGUGAGGAGAGAUAGGCACACUCUUCAGAUGGAUUUUCUAGGGACAUGCCUAAUAAAAGCAUAUAUGUAUAUUUACUGCCUUUUUAUCCCUUCAUAUUUUCAACAACAAAAAAAUACUCCAAAUACUGUUUCCCUGUUAAACCCAGCCCCCCCUUAUGAUCUCGGUCAUCGAUCGCGCGAUAAUUUGGCAUGCACAUUACAUAUGGCAUAAUCAACGAAACUAUAAGAUCAAAUUCUGUGAAAAAUCUAAUCCCUAAUUAAUUAUGCUAAUUUAUGCAUAAAAUCAAGAGUUUGCUCUAAUUAAGUAAAUAAUGCCCCUAAAAUGCUAAUUUUUGGUUCACAGACAAUUUAUAGGAAUCUGAUCAAAUGUACUUUUAAAAAAUUCCACAUCACAUUUAUUUUCUUGUGUAUUUUAUUGUUUUCUAAAUUUCUUAUGUAUUUCCUUGUUUUUUGACUUUUUGUUUUUUAUUGUUUUUUUCAUUGGAAAUUGUUUGGGACUUUAUUUUGACCAUAAACAAGAUGAAAUUUAUUGAUUUUAAUCAGUAAAAGGAAAAAUAACGAUACAUUUAUGAAUUUUGGCUAAAAAUACUAUUUGCAUUUCAUUUGUACACAAAAUCACGUUUUUGAGCACUUUUGGGUCUGCAAGCACUUACGAAAAGUUGCGUAAUUUCAAAAGCGCGUACUUAGGGGUCACAAUUUUGGUCUCAAAAGUUGCGCGAGACUUGAAAGUCAGUAAGCGACGCGGUCAAAAAAAUUUGCGCGGCGGAUUUAUCGCUAAAAAUGUCGAGGGGGGGUGGGCUGAAUCAGCACCCCAGUCUUAGGGUUAAACAUGUAUGAAAGAUGCAGAAUGAAAUAUAAUAUUUAUAGGUAGAAUUUGCUAUUGAAACCACCUCUCAAACAUGGAAUGAGAUCUUUUUAGGAUACAAACUCCCUAUAGAAUUAUUGUCUUUUAUUGCAUUCAUCGCCAAAUGCCUAAAUUUUGAUGCAUUGUUAUUUUAUGAAUCAUUAUUUACAAGUAUAUCAUCCCUUGAUUGUUGCCUUGAUAUGUGUUGCAAAGAGUUUCUCGGUUUUAUUUCACUAAGGAGAAUCAACUCUUAAGUUGAUUAACUUCUACAAAUAUUCAUCCAAUAAGGUCUGUUUUAUCGGAUAGUUACUGUAGUCACAGCUUGGGCGGUGUUUCAGAAUGAUAUAAGUGCGACUUUAUUUAUUUAUUUACAGUUGCGUGUGGUUUGUAACGCAUCACCACAUUGUCAAAUCAUGAUCAAAGGAUGUGUGCUGCUUUGUAGAGAUUACGCAUUUAAUAUCAUUUGUAUAAUUUAAAUUUGCGCUUAAACACCCCACCCUCUUAAUAUUGACUUGACCAUUUAAGGACGUUCCACAGUUAUGUUUGUGCGCAUCAUGAUCUGCGCAUAUUUUACACUCUGUGCGCUGACGUCACAAUGGAUGAACAGGUGAUUAAUCAGCUGUAGGUAUGAGCUGAUUUUUCUCCAUUUCAAACAGUAAAGUUGAGAUGAUCAGAAUUAUUUCUAAUCGUCAUUUAAACCAUUGAUUUAAUGCUGGAACAACAAAACAUUCUUCACUCUUACACAAAUAUCGAUAUACCUUAUGAUAUCAAAGGGGCGCUUCAAAUUUCUGUUAAAUUGAUAAAAGAUCUUGUCGAAAAGACAAAUAUAGUGUCACUCGGAGGAAUAGAAUUUAUUUUGUUUUUGGGUCAUUCCAUGGGGUUGGGGCAAUUUUUGUGACAUACCAGAACUCCAAAACCAUGUCUCAUGUAAAAAGGGCAAAUGUAUGCAUAAAAUUAUCUGCACAAAUAAUUGGUGUCUCACCCAGUUUUACUUCUCAAGCAUCAUGAUAUAUUGCAGAUUCACACCUGAGAAUUUAUUGCCAAUGUAAUGGUGGUAAACUUUGUAUUUGUUUUGCAGCAAAUCCAUUAAAGAUCCCAAUUUCCAACUGAAUUACUAUGAUUGGACAUCAUCUUUAAGUCGACACAUCAAAACUUAAGCCCAUUUGAACUGUUCUUCUCUGUGAAAUGAAAAAGCUGAUACCACCGUUACAUGGACAUCACACAAUUUUGUUGCCCCAAACUCAUGGAAUGACCCUUUUACUAAAAUCUUCUAAAUCUGUUAAAUAGUAAAUGAGCUAAGUGCCUCUGUGAUGAUUACGGUAUCUGUUUUAAUCCCAGUGCAUUGCUUUUAGAGUAAAUAUGAAUAAUAAUUAAUUAGUCAAAACGUUAGAUUAUGAUACCACACAUACAGAAAUUUGUAUGGAAAAUGUAACCAUUAGGGUCAAAGGCUUGUCAUAUUUGGCAAACCACAGGCAAUCCCAUGAUAUAAAACCUUUUUGUACAUCCGAUUUCCAUUUUUGUUUUUUACUCUACUUACUAAACUUCAUGAAGUACCAAAGCCAUUGUAUUUUGAGAUCAUUACAACUAUUCAUGUAUAAGAAUUAGAAAACAGAGACAAGACAUUCUUCCAUAUAAUGGAUCGGAUGUGCAUACUUUAUGGAAUUGCCGUCAAAAGACAAAACUCAGAUUAUGCACUGUAGAUAUAUUGAGUACCAAACGUUUUUGUUUUCUCUGGAGAAAUGGUAAUUGAGCCUCCCUUAUAGAGCCUGUACUGAAUUCAUAUGGGUUAAAUCCACUUUUUGUCAAUCACCAAGUUCCUUCAUAUCACAAAAUGAAUUGUUGGCAACCAAAGUACUUUCAACAAAACAUAUGCACAGAAUAUGACAAUACAAAUGUUUUUUUCGUCAGAACCUGCGCAUUAUUAAGCGCAUUUAUGUAGCCCUUUUCGGACAUUAUUAUGGAGCUCCUCUUUUUAUACAUACAUGUAUGUCUAUGGUGUUCAUUAAGUGGAUUUAGCUCUUUUUAGUCACAAUUUAGCUCCUCUUUCUGUAUAUGUCUAUGACAUGUUGAAGUAAAUGACAUUGUUUUUUUUUUUGUUUUUUUUUUGAGUGCUUGUAUUUAUUUCAAUUUGUUCUUUCUCCCCUCCCCCUUGUGUUGCAUUUCAUUGCAUGUUUCAAAAAUUUUCUUUCUCAUUUAUCCUUUUCUAGCACUCCAUUCGCAUCUUCUUUUCUGAUCCAGUCUUACAUGUCAUUUACAUGCACCAGGUCCCCCCUUUCUUUUUUUCUCUCUCUCUUUCUCUCCCACCCCCUUCUCUUGUGCUAUUACUCUUUCCAUUGCCACCACCCUUACCAUGCUUUGACAACUUUAUACACUACUCGACGUAUUUCAUGUUUCUCUCUUCCUUUUUUCUCAAUCUCUCGCUCUCGUUUCUUUCCACUGAAUACUCCACCAGACAUGCCAACCAUUCCCAUUUUAGAGUAUUUGUUCCUUUUUUUUGCUAUGAAUCCGCCAAUACUUUUUUUGUAUAAUUUGUUACUUUUUUUUAAAAUUCCGAUCAUGGAGUAUGUAUAAUACACAGCACGCGAUAAUAGCGCUGGUACGGUCAGUAACUUGUUGCAUAAAAAGAACAAAUAAAUUCUUGCCUACGAGCACAUGUUUAAAAUGGUGAAUUAUCAAGUUUUCAAGUAGAGUCAUUUCACAUGUUUUUUCAACGAUCUCACUACAACAGGCUGGCGAUCGUUAACUUGAGACAAAUUUUUAAAAAUACUCUUUGUCCAAAAAUACCUUCUUAGAAUACUUUUUUUUUUUGUAGAAGGUUGGCAGGUCUGCUCCACCUCCAUCCCCUACCCCCGUUUGUCUUUUUUUUCUCCUGAGAUGUGUUUUCUCUUGACACUCAUUUCUCAUAAACCAUGUUUCUUUAAAUCCUCUCUACUUCAUCAGUAACUUGUCCCUUUCCAUUCCUUCCCUCUCUGCCACUUUAUUGCCCCCCCCCCCUCUUUGUACGUCAUGCAUAAGGUGAACGCCAUCAAAUGGAAAAGGGAAACCAUUCUUCAAACUACUUCCAGAAACCAAUAUUUCUAGCGAAAUUAUGAAUACCGCUGGAAUUGAAUUUCUUAUACCUGCUUUAAAAUAACAAAUUAGUUAAUACAUGUAUAAUGAUAAUAACAAUUUUAUAUACCGCAAAAUCGCAAAAUUGGCUCUAAUCGGUUAAGAGAAAGGAUAAAGGAAAUAGAAAUAGAAAUACUUUGCACAACAAAAUGUAUCAAAACUAAUGUAUAUACUGUUUAUUCCUUUGAUUUCGAUCCAAGAAGAAUGUUACCAAACAGAGCAAUUUUAAGUGCAUAGUGAGAUAAUUUUGUUUUUCAAUCAAACAAGCGUAACAUUUACUCAUUUCAAAGCAAAAAUAGAUGAGCCAUCUUCUGUUCACCUUAUGCAUGCCAAUUUUCGAUUCAAAUUUUAAGAACUCAUUUUCCACUGCCAUUUCAACAGCCUUUAUAGAAGAAGGAGCCAUAAAUGCUGGAUUCUCAAAUUGGCAACUAUUGAUUUCAAGAUGUACGUAAAUCUACAGAUGCACCAUUGAUGCUCAGUGUUCAUCAUCUAAAAAGAUAUUGUUGUGAUAUCAUGUCACAAACAAAAUUAUUUGAAUAUUGUAUUUUUACCAAUUUGAAGAACAAGGCGAGAAUUGAACUUAUCAGAAAGU